AUCUGCUUGAGAAGUGUUAACAGGAGACAAAUCUUACUAGAGGAGGCUCAGAUCCAGGUGUGCCUCCUCAUUUCUCAUCCUGCUAGGCACAGCUGCUCCAGGUGGGGAGCCCCACUGCGAAUCCAGCAGGGAUCUCAGGUGCGACCCAGCCAGCACAGGCUGCCUCGAGGAGAAGCAGCGCUUUGCUCCGUCACCUCCUGGACGACAUACCAACAUCCAGAGCCACACCGAAACCUACCCCACAGUUCAUACUUCAUUUUGGCUGAGACGCCAAAUGCCCCAGCAUGGCCCAUCACACCUUCGCCCCAAGAACAGGCACUUCCCUCCCCACAGGAGAGCUUUAUCCCCUGACAAAGCAAUCCUGAGUUAUCACCACAACUUUUUCCUACAUUAAUAUUUUGUUUUCUCUUAUUUAUUUUUUUUUUUUAAACAGAGUCUACGGUCCUGUUCCGCAACUUGUUGCCUCUGGCACAUAUAGAGACUUUAUGCCAUGGUUUUAAUUUGCAUUCCCUAAUGAAUAUAUGAUUAGCAAUUGCAUUUAUAAUUAGUAGUUUUGUCAUUUAAAGUUCACCAGUUUUGCAGCCAAUUAUUGAAUAAAAAGCUGCUUAUUAUUUUCAAUAUAUUAUUACUUUAUUAUGGCUCAUUGCUUUAAAAUACUUAGUUGAAUCCUUUGCAGGUCCUUAAACACAAAUAUGGCAGCUAUUAGCAACCUCUUCAGUCAGGCAUAAAAUUGUACCCACGGGCCUCAUAAACAAUGGAGUGCUUUGGAGAGAUUAAAUCAGUGUAUACAGCUGCGAGGGAGGCCAUUAGGAAAUACAUUCUCAUUCUGGCUUAGUGUUAUUUGGUUUGCCACUACGCUCUUGUCAAAUCUAUCAACUACCUGUGCUCUCCUCUCCAUAAAUACGAGAUGUCAUCUCACCAGGAAAAGCCGAACGUCGAGGAGCGGAGCCGUGCAAAGGCCAGGACGAUCAAUCUCCUCUCCGAGCAGGACAAACACCGCGGCUCCUGGCAAACUGCGCUUAGUGCAGCACCAGCGUGGGGACAGUUGUCAGACCUGCUGCACACCCUCACAUCCAGACUAGGAAAAUAUGGCAUUCAGGCCAAGUCUGUAAUGCUUCUCUCAGCUUGGCCAUCCCCUUUAAAACACAAAGCAGAAGAUGGACUUGUGAUGUGCAAGCUGCUUGCAUCCUACUGAGCCCAGAGAAGAUGCCUUGUCUUGCACCAGCAUCUUCUCUGCAUGGCCACCACUUCCUCCUCAAACUUCUCUCCAGCCGCUCUCCUUCUCAUCCUCUGCAGCAAAAACCACACCAUAAGAUGCCCUAAAAGAAGGGCAAGCCCAUGACGACCAGAUUAAAUAUUUGUUCUACUCCUGUAGCACCGUGGACAAUUCUCCUCCGUGUCCCAUCCACCAGAUUUUUUCCCUAAAUCCCCUUGAAAUCACCAGAUGAGCCAUUUUUCUGUUAUAUUACUUAUUCAAGAUUGCAGAGAACUCCCCAAAGAGCCAAGGUAAGCACACUAUUUGCUAAAGGACAGAACAGUCUCAAACAAGGAGGAACUUGUAGGGGAAGUAAAAAAUAUGACAUAAUUAUCAUGUAAAUUAUAGUGUUGGUUUUAAAUCCCCUACCAGCAAGACAUGAGGUUACACCACAUGUUUCUAAGGCAAAGGGAGAAUUGCUUUCUUGCCUGGAGACAAGAGAGUAAUAUUAGAACAACCAAAACCAAGAACAACUCCUCCCCAACCCCCAAAAAGAAAAGCAGAAACCCACCACACCAACAGAGCAAAUCCCUAUCUUUGGGGUAAUAAAUAUUGGCACCCCCUGGCUAUUUCCCA
This 1831-nucleotide long non-coding RNA is filed under the name Anser brachyrhynchus (Pink-footed goose). RNAcentral's name for it is "lncRNA (ENSABRG00000022477.1)". Lineage: Eukaryota; Metazoa; Chordata; Aves; Anseriformes; Anatidae. The record is from RNAcentral.